AUUGAACGCUGGCGGCAUGCCUUACACAUGCAAGUCGAACGGUAGAGUAGCAAUACUCGAGAGUGGCGAACGGGUGAGUAAUAUAUCGGAACGUGCCCAGUCGUGGGGGAUAACGUAGAGAAAUUUACGCUAAUACCGGCAUACGAUCUACGGAUGAAAGCGGGGGAUCGCAAGACCUCGCGCGAUUGGAGCGGCUGAUA
RNAcentral lists this ribosomal RNA (200 nucleotides) under uncultured bacterium. Its description in RNAcentral is "partial 16S ribosomal RNA". It matches the Rfam family "Bacterial small subunit ribosomal RNA", at positions 30 to 235 of the family's 1533-position model. The record is from RNAcentral.